UGGGGAAUAUUGGACAAUGGGCGCAAGCCUGAUCCAGCCAUGCCGCGUGAGUGAUGAAGGCCCUAGGGUUGUAAAGCUCUUUCAACGGUGAAGAUAAUGACGGUAGCAGGUAAAGAAACCCCGGCUAACUCCGUGCCAGCAGCCGCGGUAAUACGGAGGGGGUUAGCGUUGUUCGGAAUUACUGGGCGUAAAGAGUUCGUAGGCGGACUAGCAAGUUAGAGGUGAAAUCCCAGGGCUCAACCCCGGAACUGCCUCCAAAACUAUUGGUCUAGAGACCGGAAGAGGUUAGGGGAAUACCUAGUGUAGAGGUGAAAUUCGUAGAUAUUAGGUGGAACACCAGUGGCGAAGGCGCCUAACUGGUCCGGUACUGACGCUGAGGAACGAAAGCGUGGGGAGCAAACAGGAUUAGAUACCCUGGUAGUCCACGCCGUAAACGAUGAGUGCUAGAUGUUGGGAUUUUCGGAUUUCAGUGUCGCAGCUAACGCAUUAAGCACUCCGCCUGGGGAGUACGGCCGCAGG
This 519-nucleotide ribosomal RNA is filed under the name uncultured bacterium. RNAcentral's name for it is "bacterial SSU rRNA". It matches the Rfam family "Bacterial small subunit ribosomal RNA", at positions 355 to 892 of the family's 1533-position model. The record is from RNAcentral.